UCAAAGAGUGCUUGAAAUUGUC
RNAcentral lists this non-coding RNA (22 nucleotides) under Arabidopsis thaliana (thale cress). The record is from RNAcentral. Lineage: Eukaryota; Viridiplantae; Streptophyta; Magnoliopsida; Brassicales; Brassicaceae.